GAUAGGAUGACUCUAAAACUGACGACACAGAAACCCCAAAGGAGCCGAUAGCAAGUACAAGUCAAGAAAACAAAGAUGACGACCUCCCCGUGCCCGAUGACGCUGAGAAAGCGACGCCCACUGGGGCGGUGCAGGCGCUGCCGUCAUGCCAAACGCAGAGCGACAGCGGCGGUGCUGCAGAGGAAGAAGAAACGCUGAUCCACGCAGCAUCAAGCAAACCGGCUGCUGGACACGCUACCAAGUCUCUUUCUUCAGCGUCUUCGUCGAUGGCGUCCUCUGGGUCCUUAACGCUGUCCCCCGGUCGAGCAAAGAUGAGUGUUAGCGGCCCCUCUGGGAGUAAAUCCUCUCCUCCGCUCGCUCCAUCCUCCUCUCCUUCCACUUCUGCCUCCCCGUCUGUUUCCCCUGGCCCGCCCAAGAUCCACCGGGCCCGCAAGACCAUGAGCAAACCUUCUAUCGGGCAGCACACGAGUUUUGGAGAAACUGCUUCAGCAUCCCAGACCCCGUCAGGAUCUCCCCGCCUCAUUUCUGACCCUGAAAGCGCGGUCUUAAAAAAGAGGAAGCUGGGUCAUUUAUCAGACAGCCGGUGUGAAAACAUUCCAGAUCAUUCUCAGACUGAUGAGACGUUGUUUCAUAAGAAGGCAGAAGCUGCUGUGGUGAAAAGCAAAAGGAAGAGCGGAGAUGAAGGAGGAGAACGGAGCCACAGCUCCACUCCAUCGGCUCAAGAUCCUGGAAACUUUCAAAACGGAGUCAAUGCAAACGAGCGAUCGAAUGAAACUGAGGAGCAUUGUUUAGAGACUGAAACGCCGAAAAGCGUCCGGAAUGACGGCGAGGAGUCUUCGUGGUCGCUGUCAGGUCGGGGCAGAAAGAGAAGCUCUGCUGACCUGGCGGAGACGGAGGAAGAAGAACGAGCCGACGAAUACACCGAGGUUCCUUUGGGUGACCUGGACCUCGCAGCUGCUGACAGUCUGACUCUGUCCCCUCCUCCUGAAGGAAGCGACGCCGGCGACACGGAGCGGCUGGAGGAGCUUCCUCUCUGCAGCUGCAGGAUGGAAGCUCCUCGGAUCGACAGCAGCGGCCAGCGCAGCAGCAGACAGUGCAUGGCCACGGAGAGCAUCAACGGAGAGCUGCGGGCGUGCACCAGCUGGACGGUGAAAGGCGAGACCAUGCGACCGUCCAGCCGCGUCUCCCUCAUGGUGCUCUGCGACGUCCAUCGCUCACACAUGGUCAAACACCACUGCUGUCCGGGCUGUGGGUACUUCUGCAUCGCAGGCACGUUUCUGGAGUGCUGUCCCGACCAGCGCAUCGCGCACCGCUUCCACCGCGGCUGCGUGACCGUGCUGAGCAGCGGGCGCAGCCGCGCCAACGGCGGCGGCAUGAUCUUCUGCCCCCACUGCGGGGAGGACGCCUCGGAGGCCCAGGAGAUCACCCUCCCGUCCUCCAGCGCCGCCGCCACCGUCGUCACCAUGUCCGCCUCCUCCACCACCACGCCGUCCGCUCGGAUGCAGAGCCACGGCCUGUUCACGCUGACGGUGGAGCAGCCGCCGCAGUCGGCCGCCGCCGCCGCCACCGGAGUGGAUAGCGUGGGGCCGUCGCUAUGCAUGCCGAACGGGAAGCCGGUCUGCCCGAGCGCGCUUCCGCCUGGAACCAGCAGGGCGGCGCUGCAGAAAGCAAUUCUGACCCAGGACUCAGAGAGGAGGAAGAAGUUGAGGUUUCACCCUCGACAACUCUAUCCAGCCGCCAAGCAAGGGGAGGGGCAAAGAGUUCUGCUGAUGCUGAUGGAGGGAAUCGAUCCCACGUACCAGCCGGACUCCCAGAAUCGGCGCUCCGCUCUACACGCUGCAGCUCAAAGAGGUUUACUGGAGAUCUGCUACAUGCUGAUACAGGCCGGCGCCAACGUGGACGCCAAGGACAAAGAAAUGAGGACUCCUCUGCUGGAGGCCGUCAUCAACAACCACGUGGAGGUGGCCCGCUACCUGGUCCAGAGCGGAGCCUGCGUCUAUCACGUCGAGGACGACGGAUACACCGGCCUUCACCACGCCGCCAAGCUGGGGAACCUGGAAAUCGUUAACAUGCUUCUGGAGACGGGCCAGGUGGACGUGAACGCACAGGACAACGGGGGCUGGACGCCCAUCAUCUGGGCUGCCGAGCACAAACACGUGGAGGUGAUCAAGGCUCUGCUGAACCGAGGAGCAGACGUCUCCAUCACGGAUAAGGAGAUGAACGUUUGUCUCCACUGGGCGGCGUACGCGGGAAGUGUGGACAUCGCCGAGAUGGUGUUGAACUCCGGCUGCUCGCUCGCCUCCGUCAACGUCCACGGCGACACGCCGCUGCACAUCGCCGCCAGGGAGGGAUACCUGGACUGUGUGACGUUGUUCCUCAGCAGAGGUGCAGACAUCGACAUCAUGAACAAAGAGGGGGACACGCCGCUCAGCCUGGCCCGGGCCGACACCCCCGUGUGGGUGUCGCUCCAGAUCAACAGGAAACUACGGCGAGGAAUUACAAACCGUCUCCUCCGGACCGAGAGAAUCAUAAGCCGGGACAUCGCCCAAGGCUACGAGAACGUGCCCAUCCCCUGCGUGAACGGCGUGGACGAGGAGGGCUGCCCGUCCGACUACAAAUACGUUUCGGAGAACUGCGAAACAUCGGCCAUGAACAUCGACCGGAACAUCACGCACCUGCAGCACUGCGGCUGCACGGACGACUGCUCCUCCAGUAACUGCCUCUGUGGGCAGCUCAGCAUCCGGUGCUGGUACGACAAGGACCAGCGGCUGCUGCAGGAGUUCAACAAGAUCGAGCCUCCGCUCAUCUUUGAGUGCAACAUGGCGUGCUCCUGUUACCGCAGCUGCAAGAACAGAGUGGUUCAGGCCGGCAUCAAAGUCCGGCUGCAGCUCUACAGGACGGAGAAGAUGGGCUGGGGGGUCCGAGCUCUGCAGGACAUCCCCCAAGGGAGCUUCAUCUGCGAGUACGUCGGAGAGCUGAUUUCUGACGCCGAGGCCGACGUCCGAGAAGACGACUCCUACCUGUUCGACCUGGAUAACAAGGACGGGGAGGUGUACUGCAUAGACGCCCGUUACUACGGCAACAUCAGCCGCUUCAUCAACCACCUGUGCGACCCGAACCUCAUCCCGGUGCGGGUCUUCAUGCUGCACCAGGACCUGCGCUUCCCGCGCAUCGCCUUCUUCAGCUCGCGGGACAUCCUGAGCGGGCAGGAGCUGGGGUUCGACUACGGCGACCGCUUCUGGGACAUCAAGAGCAAGUACUUCACCUGCCAGUGCGGCUCGGAGAAAUGCAAACACUCGGCCGAGGCCAUCGCCCUGGAGCAGAGCAGGCUGGCCCGGCUGGAGGCCGGAUCGGAGUCGGGGGGCGACUGCGGGGCGAUGAUGGGGAGCUCGUGAGGCGCGAGGUUCAUGUUUGACUCUCUAAGCUGCCACUUUAUCCUCCCACCUGCAGUAAAGCUGGACUUUUAUCAAAUGUUUGGGUUUCAGCCUCUUUCACUCAUUUCAGUUGUUUUAUUUCGUGCCACCUCAUCGUCCCGGGACCACGUGAAGCCUUAACCCGGACAGACUUGUUAGGACUCGUGUGCUCGUCGAUUGUCUUGUAUUGUUAGCAUUUCAUCUUUAUUUUUAUAUUCCUGAGUAAUAAAAAUAUUGAAAGUUGUUUUGGUUUCA
This is a long non-coding RNA of Oryzias javanicus (javanese ricefish), 3668 nucleotides long. Lineage: Eukaryota; Metazoa; Chordata; Actinopteri; Beloniformes; Adrianichthyidae. The record is from Ensembl.